CAUAGGUUAAUGAGGCGAACCGGGGGAACUGAAACAUCUAAGUACCCCGAGGAAAAGAAAUCAACCGAGAUUCCCCCAGUAGCGGCGAGCGAACGGGGAGGAGCCCAGAGCCUGAAUCAGUGUGUGUGUUAGUGGAAGCGUCUGGAAAGGCGCGCGAUACAGGGUGACAGCCCCGUACACAAAAAUGCACAUGCUGUGAGCUCGAUGAGUAGGGCGGGACACGUGGUAUCCUGUCUGAAUAUGGGGGGACCAUCCUCCAAGGCUAAAUACUCCUGACUGACCGAUAGUGAACCAGUACCGUGAGGGAAAGGCGAAAAGAACCCCGGCGAGGGGAGUGAAAAAGAACCUGAAACCGUGUACGUACAAGCAGUGGGAGCACGCUUAGGCGUGUGACUGCGUACCUUUUGUAUAAUGGGUCAGCGACUUAUAUUCUGUAGCAAGGUUAACCGAAUAGGGGAGCCGAAGGGAAACCGAGUCUUAACUGGGCGUUAAGUUGCAGGGUAUAGACCCGAAACCCGGUGAUCUAGCCAUGGGCAGGUUGAAGGUUGGGUAACACUAACUGGAGGACCGAACCGACUAAUGUUGAAAAAUUAGCGGAUGACUUGUGGCUGGGGGUGAAAGGCCAAUCAAACCGGGAGAUAGCUGGUUCUCCCCGAAAGCUAUUUAGGUAGCGCCUCGUGAAUUCAUCUCCGGGGGUAGAGCACUGUUUCGGCAAGGGGGUCAUCCCGACUUACCAACCCGAU
RNAcentral lists this ribosomal RNA (743 nucleotides) under Escherichia coli. RNAcentral's name for it is "bacterial LSU rRNA". It matches the Rfam family "Bacterial large subunit ribosomal RNA", at positions 165 to 948 of the family's 2925-position model. Lineage: Bacteria; Pseudomonadati; Pseudomonadota; Gammaproteobacteria; Enterobacterales; Enterobacteriaceae. The record is from RNAcentral.